RNAcentral lists this long non-coding RNA (942 nucleotides) under Oryza sativa Indica Group (long-grained rice). RNAcentral's name for it is "lncRNA OsZS97_06G016610". The record is from RNAcentral. Lineage: Eukaryota; Viridiplantae; Streptophyta; Magnoliopsida; Poales; Poaceae.
GGACUUGGCUAUAAUGAGGAGCAGUACUCAAUAAGUAUACAAGCUGAUCGGUUUGAUUUUGGAGCUCAUGGACCACAUUAUUUCCAGCUAAUUCCAAUUUAUGAAGAAAGAGGAUGGCAUAUGAUAUUUGAAAAGACAAGGACACGUAUAAGUUGGCAGACCGUGGAGCUAUAUGUGAACUGCACACCGACCCAAGUAGGAUUGAGCCAAGUUAACAGCACAUUCCAUCCCGUGCCGCCAUCGCCGCGACAACCAGACUCCUUCGGCGUUGCUUCCGCCACCGGCGCGGCCAGGUUCGCCUCACCGACGCCAUCCCCUCGCCACCUCCGUCGCCACCAUAGCAGCCGCUGCUGCCCUUCCAUCCCCGCCGCCAUCUCGUCAUCCUCCCACACCUUGUCGCCGUCGUCGAGCUCCGACGACACACGGCGCAGGCGGACCGCCGUGGUAGCCUGCAUCGCCGUCGCUGUGAACUCGUCGCCACCACUGUCGCGACCGCCAGACCUCCGGGCGCUGGAUCCGCCGCCGGCGCGGCCAGGUUCACCUCACCGACGCCAUCCCCUCGCCGCCCUCGCCAUCCCCGCCACCAGACGCCGCCGUCGGCCGCCGUCCCGCCAGAUCCAGGCGCGGAUCUGGCGGUUUCCUCUGCCGCCGCCAACGCUUCGACGCCGCUGCCACCACCACCAAACACCGUCGCCGCACCGCUCAGCCCCGCCGCCGGCUGCUCCACCGCCAGAUCCGGCCGGCGGCAUGGAUCUGGCCAGUUCCGCCGCCCCCGAGCAGGUCCCCCUCCCAUGCCCGAGCGCGAGGAUGAAGCCCCGCCGCCGCCGUCCUUGUGGCCGGGCAGCGGCGAGGCCAAGGAGGAGGGAAGGGGAGACGAGCGCCGGUGAGGUCGUCGCCUCCCGGUCGCCCGUGGUGGAGGGACACGAGAGGAAACGUUUUUAA